UACGUAGGGUGCAAGCGUUAAUCGGAAUUACUGGGCGUAAAGCGUGCGCAGGCGGUUCGUUGUGUCGGUGGUGAAAGCCCCGGGCUUAACCUGGGAAUGGCCAUGGAAACUGGCGAACUGGAGUGUGGCAGAGGGGGGUGGAAUUCCGCGUGUAGCAGUGAAAUGCGUAGAGAUGCGGAGGAACACCGAUGGCGAAGGCAGCCCCCUGGGCUAGCACUGACGCUCAGGCACGAAAGCGUGGGGAGCAAACAGG
This 253-nucleotide ribosomal RNA is filed under the name uncultured bacterium. Its description in RNAcentral is "partial 16S ribosomal RNA". It matches the Rfam family "Bacterial small subunit ribosomal RNA", at positions 524 to 776 of the family's 1533-position model. The record is from RNAcentral.